This 464-nucleotide unclassified non-coding RNA is filed under the name uncultured Russulaceae. RNAcentral's name for it is "sequence contains ITS2". The stretch from base 1 to 154 matches the Rfam family "5.8S ribosomal RNA". The record is from RNAcentral. Lineage: Eukaryota; Fungi; Basidiomycota; Agaricomycetes; Russulales; Russulaceae.
AACUUUCAGCAAUGGAUCUCUUGGCUCUCGCAUUGAUGAAGAACGCAGCGAAAUGCGAUAUGUAAUGUGAAUUGCAGAAUUCAGUGAAUCAUCAAAUCUUUGAACGCACCUUGUGCCCUUUGGCAUUCUGAGGGGCACACCCGUUUGAGUGUCGUGACAUUCUCAAAAACCUUCUUUGGUUUCUUGACCAGGAAGGCUUUUGGACUUUGGAGGCUUUUGGACUUUGGAGGCUUUUGCUGGCCUUCCUUUGUUGAAGCCAGCUUCUCUGAAAUGAAUUAGUGGGGUCUGCUUUGCCUAUCCUUGACGUGAUAAGAUGUUUUCUACGUCUUGGGUUUUGCACUGUUCCUGCUUCUAACCGUCUCAUAGAAGACAAUGGUCAAGUGAUUGCCACUUGACCCACAAACCUUGACCUCAAAUUGGGUGAGACUACCUGCUGAACUUAAGCAUAUCAAUAAGCGGAGGCU